UACAGAGGGGGCAAGCGUUUGUUCGGAAUUACUGGGCGUAAAGGGCGCGUAGGCGGCCUGUUAAGUCGAACGUGAAAUCCCCGGGCUCAACCCGGGGAACUGCGUCCGAUACUGGCAGGCUUGGAAUCCGGGAGAGGGAUGCGGAAUUCCAGGUGUAGCGGUGAAAUGCGUAGAUAUCUGGAGGAACACCGGUGGCGAAG
RNAcentral lists this ribosomal RNA (200 nucleotides) under uncultured bacterium. RNAcentral describes it as "partial 16S ribosomal RNA". It matches the Rfam family "Bacterial small subunit ribosomal RNA", at positions 524 to 720 of the family's 1533-position model. The record is from RNAcentral.